This is a long non-coding RNA of Mus musculus (house mouse), 447 nucleotides long. RefSeq annotates it as predicted gene, 52569. The record is from RefSeq and is a predicted model, not a curated record. NCBI's taxonomy places the organism in Eukaryota, Metazoa, Chordata, Mammalia, Rodentia, Muridae. The transcript is spliced from 3 exons.
UAGCCGGCGCUGUGGGGGACAGCAACGAGUCAGGUCCUGACUUUCUUUUGUUCCUACCCCGCCUCAGGUUCCCUUCUUCAGUUCCUACCCUGCCUCUUUUGUUCCUACCAAGCCUAUUUCCUUCGGGGAUGGACUCUGACCUGAAAAUCCCAGCCCAGUGUCUGUGCCCCUGGAAACGAACCCUCAAGGCAUCAGGAACGCACCUGCUGUGGCCCCUGCUGUUUCCUGUGGGACCAUUGAAGACGCUGCACAGCUGAAGAAGCUGCACUUUGCUGCACUGUUUUUACUACAGUUAUGAGGUCCGACCUCAGGUCGAGCUCCCUGGUGAGUCUCCCAAGCAGCACUGCUAGCCAGAGUCUAAGCCACAGCACAGAUGCUGUGAUGCUCAGCUAGAGGACUGUGCUGGCUGGUUUUGUGUGUCAACAUGACACAAGCUGGAGUUAUCAC